GAUGAACGCUGGCGGCGUGCCUAAUACAUGCAAGUCGAGCGAACAGACGAGGAGCUUGCUCCUUGGACGUUAGCGGCGGACGGGCGAGUAACACGUGGAUAACCUACCUAUAAGACUGGGAUUACUUCGGGAAACCGGCGCUAAUACCGCAUAACAUGUCGAACCGCAUGGUUCAACAGUGAAAGACGCUCUUGCUGUCACGUAUAGAUGGAUCCGCGCCGCAUUAGCUAGUUGGUAAGGUAACGGCUUACCAAGGCAACGAUGCGUAGCCGACCUGAGAGGGUGAUCGGCCACCCUGGAACUGGGACACGGUCCAGACUCCUACGGGAGGCAGCAGUAGGGAAUCUUCCGCAAUGGGCGAAAGCCUGACGGAGCAACGCCGCGUGAGUGAAGAAGGUCUUCGGAUCGUAAAACUCUGUUAUUAGGGAAGAACAAAUGUGUAAGUAACUAUGCACGUCUUGACGGUACCUAAUCAGAAAGCCACGGCUAACUACGUG
This 497-nucleotide ribosomal RNA is filed under the name uncultured bacterium. Its description in RNAcentral is "partial 16S ribosomal RNA". It matches the Rfam family "Bacterial small subunit ribosomal RNA", at positions 28 to 507 of the family's 1533-position model. The record is from RNAcentral.